RNAcentral lists this ribosomal RNA (460 nucleotides) under uncultured bacterium. RNAcentral's name for it is "partial 16S ribosomal RNA". It matches the Rfam family "Bacterial small subunit ribosomal RNA", at positions 338 to 795 of the family's 1533-position model. The record is from RNAcentral.
CCUACGGGUGGCAGCAGUGAGGAAUAUUGGUCAAUGGGCGCGAGCCUGAACCAGCCAAGUAGCGUGAAGGAUGACUGCCCUACGGGUUGUAAACUUCUUUUAUAAAGGAAUAAAGUGAGGCACGUGUGCCUUUUUGUAUGUACUUUAUGAAUAAGGAUCGGCUAACUCCGUGCCAGCAGCCGCGGUAAUACGGAGGAUCCGAGCGUUAUCCGGAUUUAUUGGGUUUAAAGGGAGCGUAGAUGGGUUGUUAAGUCAGUUGUGAAAGUUUGCGGCUCAACCGUAAGAUUGCAAUUGAUACUGGCGGCCUGGAGUAGGAGAGAGGUAGGCGGAAUGCGUGGUGUAGCGGUGAAAUGCUUAGAUAUCGCGAAGAACUCCGAUUGCGAAGGCAGCUUACUGGACUGACACUGACGUUGAGGCUCGAAAGUGUGGGUAUCGAACAGGAUUAGAUACCCUAGUAGUC